AGCAGCCGCGGUAAUUCCAGCUCCAAUAGCGUAUAUUAAAGUUGUUGCAGUUAAAAAGCUCGUAGUUGAAUUUCGGGAUCAAUAUGCCGGUCAUGCUUUGGUAUGCACUGGUAUCUUUGAUUUCUCCCUUCUGACGAACUUUGAUGUCAUUAAUUUGGUGUCAUAGGGAAUCAGGACUGUUACUUUGAAAAAAUUAGAGUGUUUAAAGCAAGCUCACGCUUGAAUACAUUAGCAUGGAAUAAUGAAAUAGGACGUUUGAUUCUAUUUUGUUGGUUUCUAGGAUCGACGUAAUGAUUAAUAGGGAUAGUUGGGGGCAUUAGUAUUCAAUUGUCAGAGGUGAAAUUCUUGGAUUUAUUGAAGACUAACUACUGCGAAAGCAUUUGCCAAGGAUGUUUUCAUUAAUCAAGAACGAAAGUUAGGGGAUCGAAGACGAUCAGAUACCGUCGUAGUCUUAACCAUAAAUUAUGCCGACUAGGGAUCGGAUGAUGUUAAUUUAAUGACUCA
Molecule: ribosomal RNA, 504 nt
Filed under: uncultured Glomus
Lineage: Eukaryota; Fungi; Glomeromycota; Glomeromycetes; Glomerales; Glomeraceae
Description: SSU rRNA
Rfam family: Eukaryotic small subunit ribosomal RNA
Source: RNAcentral